Molecule: non-coding RNA, 295 nt
Organism: Mus musculus (house mouse)
Lineage: Eukaryota; Metazoa; Chordata; Mammalia; Rodentia; Muridae
Source: Rfam
GGAUGUGAAGUCGAUCUGACUUCAACAGCUGUCACCCCACUCAUCACCAGGGUUGAUUGGGCUGCUCUGGCUGGCUAGGUGGCUGUCCCCUUCCUCCCUCACUGCUCCAUGUGCAUCUAGCCAGAGGCUGCACACUCAGUGGAAGAGGACCACCUUCCCCAAUAGAGGAGGAUCGGCCGGUCUUCGAGCAAGGGAGUAGUUGUGCUCGCUUCCCUGCUAGACCCUCCAAACAAGCUCUCAAGAAAGCUUGCUGCAGUGCAGAGGACUCUGGUUUAGUUAGCAGCACUGCCAGGCU